CCGUUCAGGGGUAAACCUGAGAAACCCAAAAGAUCGAAUGGGGAGAUUCAUCGUCAGCUCAUUUUGUAUAUGUAUGANGUUAUGAUGCGAGUUACUCUNUGUAGUAUUGCUUGCACGUACUUUUACAUUUAUUUGCAAGAUGUUGUCGGCGUGCACUUCUCCCCUAGUAGAACGUCGCGACCCGUUGGGUGUCGGUCUACGACCUGAGUGGUAGACUUUAAUAUUUUNCGAAUAUUAAAGACCCUUGGUGUUUUCUGACCGACUGCUCGGCGGUACUCGUACGGUAUUUAGCCGCAAUUUUUUUUGCGUCCAUGUCCAUCGCAAGCGAGGCUAACUUCUGAUAGUNACGGACUUAGUGCCGUCGUUGGGAUUGGCCAGCUGUUGGUUGUAUGGAAUUCUAGGACUGGCUAAAAUAAUUACC
This 421-nucleotide ribosomal RNA is filed under the name Heterospilus sp. MAS-2010. RNAcentral's name for it is "eukaryotic LSU rRNA". The record is from RNAcentral. Lineage: Eukaryota; Metazoa; Arthropoda; Insecta; Hymenoptera; Braconidae.